This 241-nucleotide long non-coding RNA is filed under the name Homo sapiens (human). Its description in RNAcentral is "HSALNT0113544". Lineage: Eukaryota; Metazoa; Chordata; Mammalia; Primates; Hominidae. The record is from RNAcentral.
CACAUCUCAACAUGGACUGGACACAUUUCAAAUACUCAGGAGGCACAUAUGGCUAGUGGCAACUGUAUUGGACAGCACAGAUCUAAAACAAACCCUCACCUCCAGCCACUCUCAAUCACAUCGCCCUGCUUUAUCAUGAUUGUAACGCUUAUUAGUGUUUGAAAUUACCUGGCUUAUUUACUUGAACAUUAUUCCGCCUUGUUCUCUAUCUGUACCCUGCCCAUGAAAAGUAAAGUCCAAA